UUAUCAACAAAACUAAACAAAAUGUUUCUUGUAUGGACUCUUAUUCUUCCAAAGAAAGACCCACCACAAACAACCAUACCAAUUUACUCUGAAAGAGUUGGCACAAUGUGUGCUUUGAGAUUUAUUAAAGGUAUUACUUUGAUUUAAAAAGUUUUGUACAUUGUUAGUACAAAAAGCCAGCUACUAUAGAGGUUAACAUACACAUUUCAUCGAUAGCAUUGUUUGAUCAUAUCGAAUCUUGAUUUUUUUCUUUGUGCAUUGUUUUCACUUGCAGCAAUGAGAGAUAUAGAGAUGAUGAGUAAUCGCCGAUGAGACAAUCAACCCAUAAGAUCAUUGACCAAAGAAUAUAAUCGUCUAAUACCAGUAAAGAAAUUAUAAAUUAAAUUUUCUAUAGCAAUUCCAUCGGAAAAUAGUCAGCAUAGAUGUUUGUUCCCAUUCAAUCCAGAGAGUGUUUUACCCAAAUGGUCAAAUUCGAAAAGUAUUAGAAUCUGGUUUAGUUUUACAUGUAUCACAUUAAAUAGCAUGAAUAAUGUAAUUGUUUUUGAAAAAAAAAUCCAAUUAAUGACUUUACAUAUACAUGAUGAACUGUACACUGAUACAUACAUUGAUGAUAUAUUUGUUACAAUAUUGUGAAUUUCACGUUUUUUCGUUGACGUUGUUCAAAGCGAAUGUAGAAUGUAGUGAUACAUGAAAAUUUACAAAAGUACCGUCUUAUAACUUUCUAACUUUUAUAUUUUCAGAACCACGUUAUGAUGUUAGUAGAUCCACAUGUGAAGACGUGAUUCUUCGUGUUUUUUGAAAAUAACUCUGAUGUGAAAUAGAACACAUCUAAAGGUCAUUAAUAGGUAUCCAGUAUCCUAUAUUAAGUUCAAGGACAUUGAUUUAGAAAGUCAAUUCCUACAACGCACUUUUACUUUUCGUUGCACGUCUUUUAUCUGUAUUUUGAUUUUUAUUUCCAUAUAGAAUAUAUCGUUUCUGAUUUCGUGUAGAUGUUGAUUUUGUCUUCAUUUUUUGUCAGAACUAUCAAUGGGUAGGGGAACUGAUCGCUCACAGAUAUGUUAAACCAGCCUCAUUCUGCAUCAUAUUGUACCUGUCCUAUGUUUUCGUUGGUCUUUUGAAUCUGUUCGAUAAAAAUCAGGCCGUCGCUAUUUCGUCUGUAGUGAAUGGUUUGCUCAAUGUUGAAGGCCAUGCAAACAGUGACCUAUAUUAUUGCCUAUAUCUAUAUUAUUCAGAUUCUGUUGGAUAGUUAUCUCAUGGGCAUUCAAACAGC
This 1270-nucleotide long non-coding RNA is filed under the name Mytilus galloprovincialis (Mediterranean mussel). Lineage: Eukaryota; Metazoa; Mollusca; Bivalvia; Mytilida; Mytilidae. The record is from RNAcentral.